UGCUGCAUGGUUGUCGUCAGCUCGUGUCGUGAGAUGUUGGGUUAAGUCCCGCAACGAGCGCAACCCCUACGUUUAGUUGCUAACAGGUGAAGCUGAGCACUCUAGACGAACUGCCGUUGACAAAACGGAGGAAGGUGGGAUGACGUCAAAUCAUCAUGCCCCUUAUGUUCUGGGCUACACACGUGCUACAAUGGCCGGUACAGACGGAGGCGAAGCCGCGAGGCGGAGCAAAUCCGAAAAAGCCGGUCUCAGUUCGGAUUGCAGGCUGCAAUUCGCCUGCAUGAAGUCGGAAUCGCUAGUAAUCGCAGGUCAGCAUACUGCGGUCGAAUACGUUCCCGGGCCUU
This 344-nucleotide ribosomal RNA is filed under the name uncultured Pelotomaculum sp. Its description in RNAcentral is "bacterial SSU rRNA". It matches the Rfam family "Bacterial small subunit ribosomal RNA", at positions 1039 to 1382 of the family's 1533-position model. Lineage: Bacteria; Bacillati; Bacillota; Clostridia; Eubacteriales; Desulfotomaculaceae. The record is from RNAcentral.